CGGAGGGUCCAAGCGUUGUCCGGAAUCACUGGGUGUAAAGGGUGCGCAGGCGGGCCUGUAAGUCAGAGGUGAAAGCCACCGGCCUAACCGGUGAACUGCCUUUGAUACUGCAGGUCUUGAGUCCCGGAGAGGCUAUCGGAAUUCGUGGUGUAGCGGUGAAAUGCGUAAAUAUCACGAGGAACACCGGAUGCGUAAGCGGAUAGCUGGACGGGUACUGACGCUCAGGCACGAAAGCGCGGGGAGCGAACAGGAUU
RNAcentral lists this ribosomal RNA (254 nucleotides) under uncultured bacterium. RNAcentral's name for it is "partial 16S ribosomal RNA". It matches the Rfam family "Bacterial small subunit ribosomal RNA", at positions 526 to 779 of the family's 1533-position model. The record is from RNAcentral.